UCCCUGGUGGCUCAGACGGUAAAGCGUCUGCCUACAAGGCAGGAGACCUGGGUUCAAUCCCUGGGUGAGGAA
RNAcentral lists this transfer RNA (72 nucleotides) under Bos taurus (domestic cattle). It matches the Rfam family "tRNA". Rfam says of the family: Transfer RNA (tRNA) molecules are approximately 80 nucleotides in length. Their secondary structure includes four short double-helical elements and three loops (D, anti-codon, and T loops). Further hydrogen bonds mediate the characteristic L-shaped molecular structure. tRNAs have two regions of fundamental functional importance: the anti-codon, which is responsible for specific mRNA codon recognition, and the 3' end, to which the tRNAs corresponding amino acid is attached (by aminoacyl-tRNA synthetases). tRNAs cope with the degeneracy of the genetic code in two manners: having more than one tRNA (with a specific anti-codon) for a particular amino acid; and 'wobble' base-pairing, i.e. permitting non-standard base-pairing at the 3rd anti-codon position. Lineage: Eukaryota; Metazoa; Chordata; Mammalia; Artiodactyla; Bovidae. The record is from Rfam by way of RNAcentral. RNAcentral also lists the same sequence under 2 other names.